AAGAAGACAUCUGCAGAAAGGACUCAUCUGAUUGCAUGUCAGUGCGACAAGCAGUCCUAUCUUGAACAAGUCGAGGGAAAGAGGGGAUGGAAAGCCAGGAGACCACGGCAGAGGGAGAAACAUGACUGGUCAGCCUGCCAUGGAAUCCUGCUGUUCUGAAAUCUGAGGUUCCCACUGCCUGGGUGCUGCAGGAGGAAUUGUAACUUUGUUUCACCCCAGUCAUAUUUGAUUCUUAAUAUUUUAAUUAAAACAAUUUUUAAAUUUGAAAAUCCCUAAGAAUAUUCUCUUCACUAAAUGGUAUGGAUUGGUGUGGAUUACCUACAGUUCUCGUUUACUCCAGAGAUGCUUUUCAGAACUCUUCCAUAAACGUGUAGUUGUGAAUCACUAGUUGGUGACCUUUCUCUGGGCUAUAGUUUUCCCCUAAAGAACAGCUGUGGAAUUUAUCUUCAGGAACUUAUAAGCUGAGUAAGGGAUGCCUUUGCAUUUUAAAUAUAAUGUC
RNAcentral lists this long non-coding RNA (499 nucleotides) under Canis lupus familiaris (dog). RNAcentral describes it as "lncRNA (ENSCAFG00040006728.1)". The record is from RNAcentral. Lineage: Eukaryota; Metazoa; Chordata; Mammalia; Carnivora; Canidae.